Molecule: non-coding RNA, 82 nt
Organism: Mycena metata
Lineage: Eukaryota; Fungi; Basidiomycota; Agaricomycetes; Agaricales; Mycenaceae
Source: the annotation of a GenBank genome assembly
GCCGCUUGGUUCAGUGGUUCUCACGCCACUGAACAGAUCACUUCAGUACCGAAGUGGUCGAGGGUUCGAUUCCCUCAGGGCA